GAGCGCGUGCGUCAACGUGCUGUGUCCGCGAAGCGCUGAAUCUCUGCAUUCCGGCCGCAAAACGGGCAUUUCUCGACCCAUACCUUGACAUGGUAGGGGUCGUUGGUUCGAAUCCAAUCGCGCCUACCA
This 129-nucleotide transfer RNA is filed under the name Solimonas marina. Its description in RNAcentral is "tRNA-Val". Lineage: Bacteria; Pseudomonadati; Pseudomonadota; Gammaproteobacteria; Nevskiales; Nevskiaceae. The record is from RNAcentral.